Molecule: small nucleolar RNA, 134 nt
Organism: Chanos chanos (milkfish)
Lineage: Eukaryota; Metazoa; Chordata; Actinopteri; Gonorynchiformes; Chanidae
Product: small nucleolar RNA SNORA71
Exons: 1
Source: RefSeq, a predicted model, not a curated record
UCCUGUAUCGAAAGUGACUGUGGCAUGACUGUUGCUAGUGGUCAUUGAUAGUGCAGGUAGAAAAACUUACACUGAGAGUCUUUCCCGUGUUCGCUGGGAACUUGAGCCCAGUGUAACCCUGUAUCUUUCAGACA